GACGAACGCUGGCGGCGUGCUUAACACAUGCAAGUCGAACGGAAAGGCCCUGCUUUUGUGGGGUGCUCGAGUGGCGAACGGGUGAGUAACACGUGAGUAACCUGCCCUUGACUUUGGGAUAACUUCAGGAAACUUGGUCUAAUACCGGAUAGGAGCUCCUGCUGCAUGGUUGGGGUUGGAAAGUUUCGGCGGUUGGGGAUGGGCUCGCGGUUUAUCAGUUUGUUGGUGGGGUGGUGGCUUACCAAGGCUUUGACGGGUAGCCGGCCUGAGAGGGUGACCGGGCAAAAUGGGACUGAGAAAAGGCCCAGACUCCUACGGGAGGCAGCAGUGGGGAAUAUUGCACAAUGGGCGGAAGCCUGAUGCAGCAACGCCGCGUGCGGGAUGACGGCCUUCGGGUUGUAAACCGCUUUCGCCUGUGACGAAGCGUGAGUGACGGUAAUGGGUAAAGAAGCACCGGCUAACUACGUG
RNAcentral lists this ribosomal RNA (468 nucleotides) under uncultured bacterium. RNAcentral describes it as "partial 16S ribosomal RNA". It matches the Rfam family "Bacterial small subunit ribosomal RNA", at positions 28 to 507 of the family's 1533-position model. The record is from RNAcentral.